RNAcentral lists this unclassified non-coding RNA (378 nucleotides) under plant metagenome. Its description in RNAcentral is "partial contains 5.8S ribosomal RNA, internal transcribed spacer 2, and large subunit ribosomal RNA". The stretch from base 1 to 105 matches the Rfam family "5.8S ribosomal RNA", at positions 50 to 154 of the family's 154-position model. The record is from RNAcentral.
GAAAUGCGAUGAGUAAUGUGAAUUGCAGAAUUCAGUGAAUCAUCGAAUCUUUGAACGCACCUUGCGCUCCUUGGUAUUCCUUGGAGCAUGCCUGUUUGAGUAUCAUGAAAUCUUCAAAGUAAAUCUUUUGUUAACUCAAUUGGUUUCUACUUUGGUAUUGGAGGUCUUUGCAGCUUCACACCUGCUCCUCUUUGUUCAUUAGCUGGAUCUCAGUGUUAUGCUUGGUUCCACUCGGCGUGAUAAGUUAUCUAUCGCUGAGGACACUGUAAAAGGUGGCCAAGGUAAAUGCAGAUGAACCGCUUCUAAUAGUCCACUGACUUGGACAAUACUUUUAUGAUCUGAUCUCAAAUCAGGUAGGACUACCCGCUGAACUUAAGC